Molecule: unclassified non-coding RNA, 520 nt
Filed under: uncultured Glomus
Lineage: Eukaryota; Fungi; Glomeromycota; Glomeromycetes; Glomerales; Glomeraceae
Description: SSU rRNA
Rfam family: Eukaryotic small subunit ribosomal RNA
Source: RNAcentral
AGCAGCCGCGGUAAUUCCAGCUCCAAUAGCGUAUAUUAAAGUUGUUGCAGUUAAAAAGCUCGUAGUUGAAUUUCGGGAUCAAGUCGUCGGUCGUGCUCAGGUACGUACUGGCGUCAUUGAUUUCUCCCUUCUGACGAACCAUGAUGUCAUUAAUUUGGUGUCAUGGGAAAUCAGGACUGUUACUUUGAAAAAAUUAGAGUGUUUAAAGCAGGCUCACGCUUGAAUACAUUAGCAUGGAAUAAUGAAAUAGGACGUUCGAUCCUAUUUUGUUGGUUUUUAGGAUCAACGUAAUGAUUAAUAGGGAUAGUUGGGGGCAUUAGUAUUCAAUUGUCAGAGGUGAAAUUCUUGGAUUUAUUGAAGACUAACUACUGCGAAAGCAUUUGCCAAGGAUGUUUUCAUUAAUCAAGAACGAAAGUUAGGGGAUCGAAGACGAUCAGAUACCGUCGUAGUCUUAACCAUAAACUAUGCCGACUAGGGAUCGGAUGAUGUUAAUUUUUUAAUGACUCAUUCGGCGCCUUAC